CAUUUUUCUGCCUUCAAAGAGUGCACGGUGUUGGGGAAUUUAGCAACAAAGCAAUGAUAAUGAUCUUAAUACCUGCCGUGGCCUAGGACUAGGUUCUGUGCAAAAGAAGCAGAAAUGGUUGUAGUAAAAUCCAGAGUAGGACCCCCGAGAGUCCCUACAAAAGGAAGAGAGAUUUAUCUUCAGUCCUUUGGAUUUUGUUUUUCGUUUUCUCUUAGCUACUUUUAUUCUGUCUCAGGUCAAGAGAUUUAAUCAGUCAACAGGGCAAAAUUGGGAAACUGUCUAAAAUAUACAGUGUCUUCCUACAGUAUACAUCCAUCAAAAGUCUAGGAAAGAAUGUCCCGGACUGAGGUUAAGGAUUGUGGCAAAGCCUGGCUAGCUACUCACUGAACCCAUUUCCUUCUAGGCAGACAGUUACUUCAUUUCCCUGGCUCCUCUGUGGUCAGGUAAGGUCAUGGGGCUGAGUUAUGGUCAAUAGAAUGUGGGCAGAAAUGAAAUGUACCUUUCCAGUUCCAGCCCGUGAAAAGAUUGCCUAUUUCAUCCCCUCUGUUCCUCCUUCCUUCAGUGGCAAGCUUGGAAGCUAUAUAUUGAAGCUUGGAAGUGGAAGCUACAAGUUGGAAGGAGGUUGGAUUCCUGGAAGAGAACUGCCUAUGCAAAAAGAGCAACCAUUCUGGACUUUAUUAAAGUGA
RNAcentral lists this long non-coding RNA (686 nucleotides) under Mustela putorius furo (domestic ferret). Its description in RNAcentral is "lncRNA (ENSMPUG00000030829.1)". The record is from RNAcentral. Lineage: Eukaryota; Metazoa; Chordata; Mammalia; Carnivora; Mustelidae.